RNAcentral lists this ribosomal RNA (253 nucleotides) under uncultured bacterium. RNAcentral's name for it is "partial 16S ribosomal RNA". It matches the Rfam family "Bacterial small subunit ribosomal RNA", at positions 524 to 776 of the family's 1533-position model. The record is from RNAcentral.
UACGUAGGGGGCAAGCGUUGUCCGGAAUCAUUGGGCGUAAAGCGCGUGUAGGCGGCUCGGUAAGUCUGCUGUGAAAGUCCAGGGCUCAACCCUGGGAUGCCGGUGGAUACUGUCGAGCUCGAGUCCGGAAGAGGCGAGUGGAAUUCCUGGUGUAGCGGUGAAAUGCGCAGAUAUCAGGAGGAACACCGGUGGCGAAGGCGGAUCUCUGGGCCUUACCUGACGCUGAGGCGCGAAAGCUAGGGGAGCAAACAGG